GAUCAUUACUGAUUUGCUUAAUUGCACCACAUGUGUUUUUCUUUGAAACAAACUUGCUUUGGCGGUGGGCCCAGCCUGCCGCCAGAGGUCUAAACUUACAACCAAUUUUUUAUCAACUUGUCACACCAGAUUAUUACUAAUAGUCAAAACUUUCAACAACGGAUCUCUUGGUUCUCGCAUCGAUGAAGAACGCAGCGAAAUGCGAUACGUAAUAUGAAUUGCAGAUAUUCGUGAAUCAUCGAAUCUUUGAACGCACAUUGCGCCCUCUGGUAUUCCGGAGGGCAUGCCUGUUUGAGCGUCGUUUCUCCCUCAAACCGCUGGGUUUGGUGUUGAGCAAUACGACUUGGGUUUGCUUGAAAGACGGUAGUGGUAAGGCGGGAUCGCUUUGACAAUGGCUUAGGUCUAACCAAAAACAUUGCUUGCGGCGGUAACGUCUACCACCGUAUAUUUUCAAACUUUGACCUCAAAUCAGCUCCCU
Molecule: unclassified non-coding RNA, 478 nt
Filed under: Candida albicans
Lineage: Eukaryota; Fungi; Ascomycota; Pichiomycetes; Serinales; Debaryomycetaceae
Description: sequence contains 18S rRNA gene, ITS1, 5.8S rRNA gene, ITS2, 28S rRNA gene
Rfam family: 5.8S ribosomal RNA (bases 148-301)
Source: RNAcentral